This 262-nucleotide ribosomal RNA is filed under the name uncultured bacterium. RNAcentral describes it as "partial 16S ribosomal RNA". It matches the Rfam family "Bacterial small subunit ribosomal RNA", at positions 515 to 776 of the family's 1533-position model. The record is from RNAcentral.
CCGCGGUAAUACGGAGGAUCCGAGCGUUAUCCGGAUUUAUUGGGCGUAAAGCGCACGUAGGCGGACAUUUAAGUCAGGGGUGAAAUCCCAGAGCUCAACUCUGGAACUGCCUUUGAUACUGGGUGUCUUGAGUGUGGAAGAGGUCAGUGGAAUUGCGAGUGUAGAGGUGAAAUUCGUAGAUAUUCGCAGGAACACCAGUGGCGAAGGCGGCUGACUGGUCCACAACUGACGCUGAGGUGCGAAAGCGUGGGGAGCAAACAGG